UUUUAUGGAGAGUUUGAUCCUGGCUCAGGAUGAACGCUGGCGGCGUGCCUAAUACAUGCAAGUCGAGCGAACAGACGAGGAGCUUGCUCCUCUGACGUUAGCGGCGGACGGGUGAGUAACACGUGGAUAACCUACCUAUAAGACUGGGAUAACUUCGGGAAACCGGAGCUAAUACCGGAUAAUAUAUUGAACCGCAUGGUUCAAUAGUGAAAGACGGUUUUGCUGUCACUUAUAGAUGGAUCCGCGCCGCAUUAGCUAGUUGGUAAGGUAACGGCUUACCAAGGCAACGAUGCGUAGCCGACCUGAGAGGGUGAUCGGCCACACUGGAACUGAGACACGGUCCAGACUCCUACGGGAGGCAGCAGUAGGGAAUCUU
Molecule: ribosomal RNA, 376 nt
Filed under: Staphylococcus epidermidis NIH04003
Lineage: Bacteria; Bacillati; Bacillota; Bacilli; Caryophanales; Staphylococcaceae
Description: bacterial SSU rRNA
Rfam family: Bacterial small subunit ribosomal RNA
Source: RNAcentral